ACUUCAAUUUUAAUCUGGAUAACGCCAAAGCUUUUCCUCAAAUUCACCCCUGGAGUCAGCUCAUAGAUGCUCUGAUUUUGUCUACCAUUGCUCCUCCUUAAUAUCUCUCGCACAGGUGCCAUUGACCUUUAGAUGGGCUGUACGGUGUGGGGUUCGGUGCCAUGGAUCUGCUUCUCCAGGGACCAGGAUCUUGAGAUCUUCAGGCUGGGUUUCCAUGGAGGCAUGGAGCUGCUUUUCCUCCUUCAUAACUGCACUCAAAACAGCCCUGUUGCUCUAGAAUGGAGACUUGGGCAACUCCUUCUGGCACAGAUUUGUUCACCUCAGGUGAAAUUCAGAUAGAAGCAAGCUGCAGGCAGUUUCACCUCUAAGUCCAUGGGUUCUCAACUGGUAACGUCCUCUUAUGGAUGUUAGCCCAUGAGGUCAAUCCUGUAGCAAUCUAAGGCUUGAGAAAAAUUAAUCUUCUGGAAAAUUCCAAGAAUACAUCUUAGGGAAACUGGCUCUACCUUUAUGACUUGGAUCACACAAGGAUAUGCUUUUCAUCUUGGACUAGAACUGAGAGCCAAUGGAUGUGUUAUCUAAAACUAUCCCAGUGUGUUCACUAUACAGAGGAAGAUUCUGAGAUUCAAGACUCAAGACUGAAGAAGAUCAUUAUUUUUAUUAUUUUAGUCUUAUGCACAAAAUGAUAUCUACUGAAUAAGCAGGUUUUUAAUAGGUGACUUAUAUAUGUUAGCAAAAAUAAACACUUUGUCUUUUAGAUCUAUUCUAGUUUUUCAGUAGCUGUAGACUUAAGUGCUAACUUUUAGCCCAUAGGAUAAGAAGAAACCAAGUCCUAAAAGUAGGCCAGCACCAGGGUUCAGGCCUCUGACUUCAAGCCAAGGGCUCAUCAUCUUGAAUUGCGCACGAAUUUUUACACAGCGCCAAAGGAAACUGCCUGUACUUACUGUUGUAGGUGCUUUGCUGGAUUCAGGAUGCAGACAAGGUCCACGCAUUGUGGUUGGGUGAGGUGUCUUUUAGGUCUCUUUUAAUCUGUAAUACUUCUCCCUCUCUUUUAAAAAUGCAUUUAUUUGUUGAAAAAACUUGGUCAUGGGUCAUUUUUCUGUACAGUGGAUUAUGUUCUGGAUUUAGCUAAAUGCCCUCUUGUUGAAGAUUUAUCUUCCAUGCUUCCUGCAGGUGGUUAUAUCCAAUGCUUGAUUAAACUCACAUUUUUUUUUUUUGGCAAAGCCA
Homo sapiens (human) is the source of this 1224-nucleotide long non-coding RNA. Ensembl annotates it as long intergenic non-protein coding RNA 840. NCBI's taxonomy places the organism in Eukaryota, Metazoa, Chordata, Mammalia, Primates, Hominidae. The record is from Ensembl.